UGGGGAAUUUUGCACAAUGGGGGAAACCCUGAUGCAGCGACGCCGCGUGAUUUAGAAGGCCUUCGGGUUGUAAAAAUCUUUUCUAUGGGAAGAAAAUGACAGUACCAUAGGAAUAAGGACCGGCUAAUUACGUGCCAGCAGCCGCGGUAAUACGUAAGGUCCGAGCGUUGUCCGGAAUCAUUGGGCGUAAAGGGUACGUAGGCGGGUAAGCAAGUUAGAAGUGAAAUCCUAUAGCUCAACUAUAGUAAGCUUUUAAAACUGCUCAUCUUGAGGUAUGGAAGGGAAAGUGGAAUUCCUAGUGUAGCGGUGAAAUGCGCAGAUAUUAGGCGGGAUGCCGGUGGCGAAGGCGACUUUCUGGCCAUAACCUGACGCUGAGGUACGAAAGCGUGGGUAGCAAACAGG
This 402-nucleotide ribosomal RNA is filed under the name bacterium. Its description in RNAcentral is "partial 16S ribosomal RNA". It matches the Rfam family "Bacterial small subunit ribosomal RNA", at positions 355 to 776 of the family's 1533-position model. The record is from RNAcentral.